This is a long non-coding RNA of Xenia sp. Carnegie-2017, 215 nucleotides long. RefSeq lists it as uncharacterized. The record is from RefSeq and is a predicted model, not a curated record. The transcript is spliced from 3 exons. Lineage: Eukaryota; Metazoa; Cnidaria; Anthozoa; Malacalcyonacea; Xeniidae.
AAACAUUUAAAAUUGAAACAACCAGUUUGGCCCAAUUUGAGAAUUACAACCGAAAUGACUUGUGGCGCUUAACAAACAAAGCAAAGUUCCAUAUCAAGGCAAUGUAUUACUCACUGGGCAGAAGCUUCUGUGCAGAUUGGCCUUGCGUUCAUUCGGUUCUCGCAUCAUCAGAUACAAUUUGCAUCUUUUUCCCAAAGCGAUUCGACUCAGCUGUG